UUUAAUGAUGAUUUUUUUAUAUUCACACUGUAUGAAGGGUAAAACCUGUUGACUACGAAAACAAAAUAACUGAUUUAAUGACUCUGAUA
RNAcentral lists this small nucleolar RNA (89 nucleotides) under Nadsonia fulvescens var. elongata DSM 6958. Lineage: Eukaryota; Fungi; Ascomycota; Dipodascomycetes; Dipodascales. The record is from RNAcentral.